GCCAGGCGUGGUGGCGGGCGCCUGUAAUCCCAGCUACUUGGGAGGCUGAGGCAGGAGAAUUGCUUGAACCUGGGGGGCAGAGAUUGCAGUGAGCUGAGACCGCUCCACUGCACUCCAGCCUGGGUGACAGAGUGAGACUCUGUCUCAA
Unclassified non-coding RNA from Pongo abelii (Sumatran orangutan), 148 nucleotides. It matches the Rfam family "Metazoan signal recognition particle RNA". Rfam says of the family: The signal recognition particle (SRP) is a universally conserved ribonucleoprotein. It is involved in the co-translational targeting of proteins to membranes. The eukaryotic SRP consists of a 300-nucleotide 7S RNA and six proteins: SRPs 72, 68, 54, 19, 14, and 9. NCBI's taxonomy places the organism in Eukaryota, Metazoa, Chordata, Mammalia, Primates, Hominidae. The record is from Ensembl.